GGUUAAGCGACUAAGCGUACACGGUGGAUGCCCUGGCAGUCAGAGGCGAUGAAGGACGUGCUAAUCUGCGAUAAGCGCCGGUAAGGUGAUAUGAACCGUUAUAACCGGCGAUUUCCGAAUGGGGAAACCCAGUGUGACUCGUCACACUAUCAUUAACUGAAUCCAUAGGUUAAUGAGGCGAACCGGGGGAACUGAAACAUCUAAGUACCCCGAGGAAAAGAAAUCAACCGAGAUUCCCCCAGUAGCGGCGAGCGAACGGGGAGGAGCCCAGAGCCUGAAUCAGCAUGUGUGUUAGUGGAAGCGUCUGGAAAGGCGCGCGAUACAGGGUGACAGCCCCGUACACAAAAGCGCAUGUGCUGUGAGCUCGAUGAGUAGGGCGGGACACGUGGUAUCCUGUCUGAAUAUGGGGGGACCAUCCUCCAAGGCUAAAUACUCCUGACUGACCGAUAGUGAACCAGUACCGUGAGGGAAAGGCGAAAAGAACCCCGGCGAGGGGAGUGAAAAAGAACCUGAAACCGUGUACGUACAAGCAGUGGGAGCACCCUUUGGGGUGUGACUGCGUACCUUUUGUAUAAUGGGUCAGCGACUUAUAUUCUGUAGCAAGGUUAACCGAAUAGGGGAGCCGGAGGGAAACCGAGUCUUAAUUGGGCGUUAAGUUGCAGGGUAUAGACCCGAAACCCGGUGAUCUAGCCAUGGGCAGGUUGAAGGUUGGGUAACACUAACUGGAGGACCGAACCGACUAAUGUUGAAAAAUUAGCGGAUGACCUGUGGCUGGGGGUGAAAGGCCAAUCAAACCGGGAGAUAGCUGGUUCUCCCCGAAAGCUAUUUAGGUAGCGCCUCGUGAAUUCAUCUCCGGGGGUAGAGCACUGUUUCGGCUAGGGGGCCAUCCCGGCUUACCAACCCGAUGCAAACUGCGAAUACCGGAGAAUGUUAUCACGGGAGACACACGGCGGGUGCUAACGUCCGUCGUGAAGAGGGAAACAACCCAGACCGCCAGCUAAGGUCCCAAAGUCAUGGUUAAGUGGGAAACGAUGUGGGAAGGCCCAGACAGCCAGGAUGUUGGCUUAGAAGCAGCCAUCAUUUAAAGAAAGCGUAAUAGCUCACUGGUCGAGUCGGCCUGCGCGGAAGAUGUAACGGGGCUAAACCAUGCACCGAAGCUGCGGCAGCGACGCUGAUGCGUUGUUGGGUAGGGGAGCGUUCUGUAAGCCUGUGAAGGUGGCCUGUGAGGGUUGCUGGAGGUAUCAGAAGUGCGAAUGCUGACAUAAGUAACGAUAAAGCGGGUGAAAAGCCCGCUCGCCGGAAGACCAAGGGUUCCUGUCCAACGUUAAUCGGGGCAGGGUGAGUCGACCCCUAAGGCGAGGCCGAAAGGCGUAGUCGAUGGGAAACGGGUUAAUAUUCCCGUACUUGGUGUUACUGCGAAGGGGGGACGGAGAAGGCUAUGUUGGCCGGGCGACGGUUGUCCCGGUUUAAGCGUGUAGGUGUGUGUUCCAGGUAAAUCCGGUUCACUUUAACACUGAGGCGUGAUGACGAGGCACUACGGUGCUGAAGCAACAAAUGCCCUGCUUCCAGGAAAAGCCUCUAAGCAUCAGGUAACAUCAAAUCGUACCCCAAACCGACACAGGUGGUCAGGUAGAGAAUACCAAGGCGCUUGAGAGAACUCGGGUGAAGGAACUAGGCAAAAUGGUGCCGUAACU
RNAcentral lists this ribosomal RNA (1694 nucleotides) under Salmonella enterica. RNAcentral's name for it is "partial 23S ribosomal RNA". It matches the Rfam family "Bacterial large subunit ribosomal RNA", at positions 1 to 1735 of the family's 2925-position model. The record is from RNAcentral. Lineage: Bacteria; Pseudomonadati; Pseudomonadota; Gammaproteobacteria; Enterobacterales; Enterobacteriaceae.